RNAcentral lists this ribosomal RNA (405 nucleotides) under Triticum aestivum (bread wheat). RNAcentral's name for it is "partial small subunit ribosomal RNA". Lineage: Eukaryota; Viridiplantae; Streptophyta; Magnoliopsida; Poales; Poaceae. The record is from RNAcentral.
AUGCAAUCACAGUUUUGCCAAAUGGUUGUCUUGUCAGUAGCUAUUAUGUGCUUUGCUCCUGUACUGUCGAACCACUCUCUAGGCAGAAGCCUGCUUACGUUCAACUUGGUGAUGUGUGACUGCUACAACAAAAACGAAUUAUUAUCACUCUUGGGGGUUCUGCCCAUGACCCAAUCUUGUGCCAUUUAUUUAUCUUUUCUUUCACUUAUUUCCACCUUAAUAAUGUCUAGAUUGACAUGUUCUUCUAUAUUUUUUUCUGUCAAAAAGCUUUAUAUAUAUUUUGCUGCACCUAUAUGUCACAUUAUCUACUUACAAGCAGUGCAUUUCAGUAUGUCACAUAGCAUUGAAAUAAACUAUGAUGACCCAGGUUACUAUCCUAAUGAUGGCAACUUCCACUGGAAGUGA